RNAcentral lists this ribosomal RNA (657 nucleotides) under uncultured Burkholderia sp. RNAcentral's name for it is "bacterial SSU rRNA". It matches the Rfam family "Bacterial small subunit ribosomal RNA", at positions 67 to 719 of the family's 1533-position model. The record is from RNAcentral. Lineage: Bacteria; Pseudomonadati; Pseudomonadota; Betaproteobacteria; Burkholderiales; Burkholderiaceae.
CGGCAGCACGGGGGCAACCCUGGUGGCGAGUGGCGAACGGGUGAGUAAUACAUCGGAACGUGUCCUGUAGUGGGGGAUAGCCCGGCGAAAGCCGGAUUAAUACCGCAUACGCUCUACGGAGGAAAGGGGGGGAUCUUGGGACCUCUCGCUACAGGGGCGGCCGAUGGCAGAUUAGCUAGUUGGUGGGGUAAAGGCCUACCAAGGCGACGAUCUGUAGCUGGUCUGAGAGGACGACCAGCCACACUGGGACUGAGACACGGCCCAGACUCCUACGGGAGGCAGCAGUGGGGAAUUUUGGACAAUGGGCGCAAGCCUGAUCCAGCAAUGCCGCGUGUGUGAAGAAGGCCUUCGGGUUGUAAAGCACUUUUGUCCGGAAAGAAAUCCUUUGGCCUAAUACGUCGGGGGGAUGACGGUACCGGAAGAAUAAGCACCGGCUAACUACGUGCCAGCAGCCGCGGUAAUACGUAGGGUGCAAGCGUUAAUCGGAAUUACUGGGCGUAAAGCGUGCGCAGGCGGUUCGCUAAGACAGAUGUGAAAUCCCCGGGCUUAACCUGGGAACUGCAUUUGUGACUGGCGGGCUAGAGUAUGGCAGAGGGGGGUAGAAUUCCACGUGUAGCAGUGAAAUGCGUAGAGAUGUGGAGGAAUACCGAUGGCGAA